AAAUAUAAAAUAAUUUUUUGAUUUUUUUUUUGAGAAAUCAAUAUAGCAUGAUUUCUCUGCUGUAAAUAUAUUUGUAUGGACAAUGUAGAAACAAGCAUGUAUAAUAAUCAUAUAGUGUUUAUGUGUAAGAGAGGAAAAUAAAAACAUUUAGAAUAGGACAAAUUAUUUAUGCAUCAUUAUUAACUACAUGGUGCAGAAUUUGUAGGUAGUGCACGUCUUAUAAAAGCAAUCAAAAGUAUGAGAUAGGGAGCUGAACUAGUAUUUCGUCAUCCCUUCUAAUCCCCUCUAGGGGCCACCCUCCCACACCUCGCAUGUCCCACUCGGAAGUUGCCAAAUAGUUAGCAUGUGCGCUUCUGUGCUGACUUUUGGAUCUCCAAGCCGAAAGCUAACCUGAUUUUUUUGCUGAUAUAAUCUUAUCUGGUUCUGUACGGCGACCUCCACUCACAUGAGCAUCACUACGUGACCCCAAGAGUAUUCUUAUCCUCUCCGGUUGGCAAGAAGACGAGAUAACUCUAGUCUUAUCAUCUCCGGUUGGCAAUAUAUGUGGCUACUACAAGUCGAUAUGAACGAAGGAUGGUCCAGGCUUUGAGUUCGUCCUAACAAACUUGGCAAUCUAUUUAGCAAAAUAGAAGUUUAGUUCUUCAGUUGAUUAUGAAUUUGUAAUUGGUGAUUUUUUGAAUAGUAAAGACUAUGGGUUUGGUAUUUAAGUUUAGACUUGGACGCUCUGAACCAAUAUUAGUUUUUAUUUAAUGAAUAAUGAAAAUAGAUUCCUACUUA
Non-coding RNA from Phoenix dactylifera (date palm), 777 nucleotides. The record is from RefSeq and is a predicted model, not a curated record. Lineage: Eukaryota; Viridiplantae; Streptophyta; Magnoliopsida; Arecales; Arecaceae.